GUUCGGCCCUGAAAUUAUACUUUUAAAUAAUAUAAAAAGGAGAGAGCCGAAUGACUUCUGCAGCUGAAAUGUACUCCUUUUUCCCCGUUUUAUUUUUUUUUAUUUUUUUAUUGGUCUUCUCUUGGCGAGGAUAUAAAUUAAACGAGUCGUAUAUAGAAGAAAGCGAAUCGUUAGUUUAGGGCCGUACAAGCUCUUAAGAUUAUUGGU
Molecule: non-coding RNA, 207 nt
Organism: Cinara cedri
Lineage: Eukaryota; Metazoa; Arthropoda; Insecta; Hemiptera; Aphididae
Source: the annotation of a GenBank genome assembly